AACGAACGCUGGCGGCAGGCCUAACACAUGCAAGUCGAGCGCCCCGCAAGGGGAGCGGCGGACGGGUGAGUACCGCGUGGGAACGUACCCUUUGCUACGGAAUAGCCUCGGGAAACUGGGAGUAAUACCGUAUGUGUCCUUCGGGAGAAAGAUUUAUCGGCAAGGGAUCGGCCCGCGUUGGAUUAGGUAGUUGGUGGGGUAAUGGCCUACCAAGCCGACGAUCCAUGGCUGGUUUGAGAGGAUGAUCAGCCACACUGGGACUGAGACACGGCCCAGACUCCUACGGGAGGCAGCAGUGGGGAAUCUUAGACAAUGGGCGCAAGCCUGAUCUAGCCAUGCCGCGUGAGCGAUGAAGGCCUUAGGGUUGUAAAGCUCUUUCAGGGGGGAAGAUAAUGACUGUACCCCCAGAAGAAGCCCCGGCUAACUCCGUG
RNAcentral lists this ribosomal RNA (431 nucleotides) under uncultured bacterium. RNAcentral's name for it is "partial 16S ribosomal RNA". It matches the Rfam family "Bacterial small subunit ribosomal RNA", at positions 29 to 507 of the family's 1533-position model. The record is from RNAcentral.